Molecule: transfer RNA, 67 nt
Filed under: Macrima sp. REN-2018
Lineage: Eukaryota; Metazoa; Arthropoda; Insecta; Coleoptera; Chrysomelidae
Description: tRNA-Val
Source: RNAcentral
CAAAUUAGAGUGUUAAAAGCAUUUUAUUUACAUUAAAAAGUUAAUUGUGAAAUUCAAUUUAAUUUGA